Molecule: ribosomal RNA, 253 nt
Filed under: uncultured bacterium
Lineage: Bacteria
Description: partial 16S ribosomal RNA
Rfam family: Bacterial small subunit ribosomal RNA
Source: RNAcentral
UACGAAGGGGGCUAGCGUUGUUCGGAAUUACUGGGCGUAAAGGGCGUGUAGGCGGCUUUUUAAGUCAGACGUGAAAUCCCCGGGCUCAACCUGGGAACUGCGUUUGAUACUGGAAAGCUAGAAUCCGAGAGGGGAUGGCGGAAUUAUCAGUGUAGAGGUGAAAUUCGUAGAUAUUGAUAGGAACACCGGUGGCGAAGGCGGCCAUCUGGAUCGGAAUUGACGCUGAGGCGCGAAAGCGUGGGGAGCAAACAGG